AGGGGUAGAGCUCAGUGGCAGAGUGCAUGCCUAGCAAACCUGAGGUCUUGGGUUCAACCCUCAGUACCUCCA
This 72-nucleotide transfer RNA is filed under the name Camelus bactrianus (Bactrian camel). It matches the Rfam family "tRNA". From Rfam's summary of the family: Transfer RNA (tRNA) molecules are approximately 80 nucleotides in length. Their secondary structure includes four short double-helical elements and three loops (D, anti-codon, and T loops). Further hydrogen bonds mediate the characteristic L-shaped molecular structure. tRNAs have two regions of fundamental functional importance: the anti-codon, which is responsible for specific mRNA codon recognition, and the 3' end, to which the tRNAs corresponding amino acid is attached (by aminoacyl-tRNA synthetases). tRNAs cope with the degeneracy of the genetic code in two manners: having more than one tRNA (with a specific anti-codon) for a particular amino acid; and 'wobble' base-pairing, i.e. permitting non-standard base-pairing at the 3rd anti-codon position. Lineage: Eukaryota; Metazoa; Chordata; Mammalia; Artiodactyla; Camelidae. The record is from Rfam by way of RNAcentral. RNAcentral also lists the same sequence under 2 other names.